CGGGGUGAGUAACGCGUGAGCAAUCUGCCCAUAUCAGGGGAAUAACAGUUAGAAAUGACUGCUAAUACCGCAUAGGACCACGGGGAGGCAUCUCUCUGAGGUGAAAGAUUUAUCGGAUAUGGAUGAGCUCGCGUCCCAUUAGGUAGUUGGUGAGGUAACGGCCCNCCAAGCCGACGAUGGGUAGCCGGCCUUAGAGGGUGAUCGGCCACAUUGGAACUGAGACACGGUCCAAACUCCUACGGAAGGCAGCAG
RNAcentral lists this ribosomal RNA (252 nucleotides) under uncultured bacterium. RNAcentral describes it as "partial 16S ribosomal RNA". It matches the Rfam family "Bacterial small subunit ribosomal RNA", at positions 100 to 354 of the family's 1533-position model. The record is from RNAcentral.